This 776-nucleotide ribosomal RNA is filed under the name uncultured Neocallimastigales. Its description in RNAcentral is "partial large subunit ribosomal RNA". It matches the Rfam family "Eukaryotic large subunit ribosomal RNA", at positions 26 to 616 of the family's 3401-position model. Lineage: Eukaryota; Fungi; Neocallimastigomycota; Neocallimastigomycetes; Neocallimastigales. The record is from RNAcentral.
CGCAUCUGUGCAUGCAGCAUAUCAAUAAGCGGAGGAAAAGAAACUAACAAGGAUUCCCCUAGUAACGGCGAGUGAAGCGGGAAGAGCUCAAAUUUGAAAUCUUAAAGGGUUUCCCUUUACGAAUUGUAGUUUAAAGAAGUGUUUUCUGUUGAGGUUUUGGUAAAAGUUCUUUGGAAUAGGACAUCAUAGAGGGUGAGAAUCCCGUAUUUGACCUUUACUUUCAACUUUGUGAUACACUUUCAAAGAGUCGGAUUGUUUGGGAAUGCAGUCCAAAAUGGGUGGUAAAUUUCAUCUAAAGCUAAAUAUUGGCGAGAGACCGAUAGCGAACAAGUACCGUGAGGGAAAGAUGAAAAGAACUUUGAAAAGAGAGUUAAACAGUACGUGAAAUUGUCAAAAGGGAAGCGUUUGACACCAGUGUUGUUUUUCUGAAAAUCAAUUAAAGAACUGUUUAUGCUAAGCUGUUUAGACUUUAUCAGCUAAUCUGUUUAGUUUUGAGCUUUUCUUUAAUGCACUUUUCAGUUAACAAGUCAACAUCAAUUUCUUUUGCUGUAAAAAAGCUUGAGGAAGGUGGCUUGAGAUUCGUCUUAAGUGUUUAUAGCCUCUUGCCUAUGCAGUCGGAGAGAUUGAGGUCUGCAGCGUAGAUCCUUCGGGGCUAAAUGCAUUUGUGCUAAGUUAUAGCAUUUUAUAGACAACUUGUUGACUAUGAUUUGUCUUAGUAGCUUACUCGCUUAUGUUAUUUUACCUACGCUUAGGAUGUUGAACGCAUGUCUCUCUCU